This 77-nucleotide transfer RNA is filed under the name Podarcis lilfordi (Lilford's wall lizard). RNAcentral describes it as "tRNA.Ile". The stretch from base 11 to 69 matches the Rfam family "tRNA", at positions 8 to 63 of the family's 71-position model. Rfam says of the family: Transfer RNA (tRNA) molecules are approximately 80 nucleotides in length. Their secondary structure includes four short double-helical elements and three loops (D, anti-codon, and T loops). Lineage: Eukaryota; Metazoa; Chordata; Lepidosauria; Squamata; Lacertidae. The record is from RNAcentral.
AUCUCAAGGAUAGCUCAGUUGGUUAGAGCAUGGUGCUGAUGACUCCAAGGUUGCAGGUUCGUUCCCCGUAUGGGACA